UACGAAGGGGGCUAGCGUUGUUCGGAAUCACUGGGCGUAAAGGGCGCGUAGGCGGCCUGAUAAGUCGGGGGUGAAAGCCUGUGGCUCAACCACAGAAUUGCCUUCGAUACUGUUAGGCUUGAGACCGGAAGAGGUAAGUGGAACUGCGAGUGUAGAGGUGAAAUUCGUAGAUAUUCGCAAGAACACCAGUGGCGAAGGCGGCUUACUGGUCCGGUUCUGACGCUGAGGCGCGAAAGCGUGGGGAGCAAACGGG
RNAcentral lists this ribosomal RNA (253 nucleotides) under uncultured bacterium. RNAcentral's name for it is "partial 16S ribosomal RNA". It matches the Rfam family "Bacterial small subunit ribosomal RNA", at positions 524 to 776 of the family's 1533-position model. The record is from RNAcentral.